This 493-nucleotide ribosomal RNA is filed under the name Tetanocera bergi. Its description in RNAcentral is "partial 16S ribosomal RNA". It matches the Rfam family "Bacterial large subunit ribosomal RNA", at positions 1885 to 2585 of the family's 2925-position model. Lineage: Eukaryota; Metazoa; Arthropoda; Insecta; Diptera; Sciomyzidae. The record is from RNAcentral.
GGCCGUUUGAAGUAAAUUUAAGGUCUAACCUGCCCACUGAAUUUUAAAUGGCCGCAGUAUUCUAACUGUGCAAAGGUAGCAUAAUAAUUAGUCUUUUAAUUGAAGGCUGGAAUGAAUGGUUGGACGAAACAUAUUCUGUUUCAUUUAGAUUUUGUAUAGAAUUUUAUCUUUCAGUCAAAAAGCUGAAAUUUUUUUAAAAGACGAGAAGACCCUAUAAAUCUUUACACCUGUAUAGUAAAUUUUGAGAAGAAUUUUAUAAAAUUUAUUUUUAAAGUGUUUUAUUGGGGUGAUAUUAAAAUUUAAUAAACUUUUAAUUUUAAAGCCAUAUAUUUAUGAAUUGAUGAUCCGUAAUAACGAUUAAUAAAACAAGUUACUUUAGGGAUAACAGCGUAAUUUUUUUGGAGAGUUCAUAUCGAUAAAAAAGAUUGCGACCUCGAUGUUGGAUUAAGGAAUAAGCUUUGGUGUAGCCGCUUUAGCAGUAAGUCUGUUCGAC